GUUACAGGCAUGUACACACACACUCAGUUAAAGGCAGUCACACAUACAGGCACAGGCACAAACAAUGGCACAGCUACAGCCACACACACAGACAGACAGUCACAUAGGCAGUCACACACACAGACAGACACACAGUAACACACACAUAGACAGUUAUACACACACAGGCAGGCAGUCACACAGAUAGAAAGUCACACACAGGCAGGCAGUCACACACAGACAGAUAGUUACAGAC
Molecule: non-coding RNA, 235 nt
Organism: Pelobates cultripes (western spadefoot toad)
Lineage: Eukaryota; Metazoa; Chordata; Amphibia; Anura; Pelobatidae
Source: the annotation of a GenBank genome assembly